CAGUCGCCGCGGUAAUACGAAGGGGGCAAGCGUUGUCCGGAAUUAUUGGGCGUAAAGCGCGCGCAGGCGGUUUCUUAAGUCUGAUGUGAAAGCCCCCGGCUUAACCGGGGAGGGUCAUUGGAAACUGGGAGACUUAGAGUGCAGAAGAGGAGAGUGGAAUUCCAUGUGUAGCGGUGAAAUGCGUAGAUAUAUGGGGGAACACCAGUGGCGAAGGCGACUCUCUGGUCUGUAACUGACGCUGAGGCGCGAAAGCGUGGGGAGCAAACAGGAUUAGAUACCCGAUAGUCCCUGUCUCUUAUAC
Molecule: ribosomal RNA, 301 nt
Filed under: uncultured bacterium
Lineage: Bacteria
Description: partial 16S ribosomal RNA
Rfam family: Bacterial small subunit ribosomal RNA
Source: RNAcentral